This is a long non-coding RNA of Elaeis guineensis (African oil palm), 740 nucleotides long. RefSeq lists it as uncharacterized. The record is from RefSeq and is a predicted model, not a curated record. NCBI's taxonomy places the organism in Eukaryota, Viridiplantae, Streptophyta, Magnoliopsida, Arecales, Arecaceae.
CCCAAUCCGCGUAGUGAUCAUUUGUGGGUGGUUAUCCGAUGAAAAUAAAGUAGUCGGCAAGAUCUACAGCAUUUACGCGACGCUGGGGUCUCAGAAACUCGUAAACAAACGUAGACUAAACGAGGGCCUUCUAAAUAAUUUUUCUGGGUAUCCUCAUAACACUUGUAUCUUAAAUGUCUACAUAAUUCAAUAUUCUACCAGGGGUUUCUUGAUAAAAUUUUCACAAACCAUAUUUUAUUGAGGAAAUCCUCUCUGCCACCGCCCGGAAUCCGCCGACCGAUGCACCCUCCGUCGGGGAGGCGGCGACGAAGAAGGGGGGCCCCGUUCGCACUCUCCAGACCCUGCGGUCCGCCGGCGGCCGUUCACCUCCUUCUUGGUCCUUGGAUGGCUUAUCUACGGCUCCAACCUCCUCCCAUUACCUAGCACCUCCGACCUCGAAACCUAGGAUCGCCGCCACCAGAUCUCGUCGCCAUCCGCGCCGCCGUCUCCGGCCGGUGAUCCACCUUUGUUGAAGUUCUCCAAACUGAAACUGAAAGCUUAUAGUUGCUCAUUUGAGUCUUGAAUGGAAUGUUUCUAGUGAUGUGCAGAAUGUUAAGCAUAUUUUGUUGUACCUAUCUUUCUCUUUAACAAAAAUCCGAGAAAAGCAGUGUUCCGACAGAAGAAUAUUUCAUUGCUUGGUUUGUUGAUAUUAUAGGUCCUUGUUUUUAAGAAAUGUGCAAGAUUUCUUUCAAGAUUUUGAU